Molecule: ribosomal RNA, 431 nt
Filed under: uncultured bacterium
Lineage: Bacteria
Description: partial 16S ribosomal RNA
Rfam family: Bacterial small subunit ribosomal RNA
Source: RNAcentral
ACGAACGCUGGCGGCAGGCCUAACACAUGCAAGUCGAGCGAGGACUUCGGUCCUAGCGGCGGACGGGUGAGUAACGCGUGGGAACGUGCCCUUUGCUUCGGAAUAGCCCUGGGAAACUGGGAGUAAUACCGGAUGAGCCCUUUGGGGGAAAGAUUUAUCGGCGAAGGAUCGGCCCGCGUUGGAUUAGGUAGUUGGUGGGGUAAUGGCCUACCAAGCCGACGAUCCAUAGCUGGUUUGAGAGGAUGAUCAGCCACACUGGGACUGAGACACGGCCCAGACUCCUACGGGAGGCAGCAGUGGGGAAUCUUAGACAAUGGGGAAACCCUGAUCUAGCCAUGCCGCGUGAGCGAUGAAGGCCUUAGGGUUGUAAAGCUCUUUCAGCUGGGAAGAUAAUGACGGUACCAGCAGAAGAAGCCCCGGCUAACUCCGUG